This 10803-nucleotide long non-coding RNA is filed under the name Homo sapiens (human). RNAcentral describes it as "HSALNT0354346". The record is from RNAcentral. Lineage: Eukaryota; Metazoa; Chordata; Mammalia; Primates; Hominidae.
CUUCUUAAUUGUAGUGAGCUGAAACUAACAGCAACAAAAAAGCAACACAAAUAAUAACUACUAUCUAGUGAGAACUUACUAUAUAUCAGGGAUUGUACCAAGUCCUUCUCAUGUUUACCCAUUUAAUUCUCAGACUGUCUUUAUGAUACAGUGACAAUUAUUAUCAUGCCAAUUUUACAGGAGGGGCAACUGAUACAUGGAGAGGUUCAGUUGUCCCCAUAACAAGUAAGUUUCAGAGCCGAGGUUUGAACUAAUGCGGUCUCCCUCCCACAUCAGAGUUCUGGACCUUGGCAGUGGAUUAUCUCACUUCCUGCACCCUGUCAAGGGUUAAUUCUUGCCUUGUGCCAGGAGCACUGGCAGAUUUCUGGCAGUGUGUAUUCAUCCCUUUGCGGCCUUGGCACAGAUUCCCAUUCCCUUCUGCUGACUGAUCUCUCUUAAAAGAAAGUCAUUUUUGACAGAGACAUGCAUGGAAAGGUCCAGUUUAUAUGAGUUUAGUCAAGGAAUUUCCAGUCCUAUUGACAACUGAGUUGUAGCUUGCAGGACCCCACUAUUACUCAGGAAAAAGGCUGUGACCGAAUGGUUUCUGUCCUCUCUGCCGGCCAGCAUUUUGCAAUGUUGGUAGGGCCAGGCAUUAUGACAGGGAAUCCAGUUGUUGUUGUGCAUAUUUCUGAAGACACACGAUUCUGACAUCUGUAACCCUGCAGUCAGUCAAGGUUUGUACCAGCGUUGUAAUCUGUUUCAGGGCUGCCAAAUAGUUCUUUUGAAAAACUUACUGGCAGCUUACCCGUUUUCUGCUGUUGUGUUUUGAACAAGUGUUUCCCAAAACUAUUUCCUAACAGCACCAAAGGGUUGGAGGAGGAAGGAAAAUAAAACAGGAUAGUAGAAUUUACUGGGGAGGAAAAACACAAAGUGAAACCACCACCACCAUUUACCAGCGUCACUCCUAAGCCUGGACUGUGGCUCUGUGCUCUUCAUAAUUUGAAAUCAGAGCUUCUGAGCAGGCGCCCUUUCUCUGGCAAAGGUGAUCUCUGUUUUUAUUUAGGUUCAGAGAGGGGUUUCUCUUCACCCCUUUGGAAGUUUUCAGUUGGCAACUGUGACUUCCGGGAGAGAAGUUGCAGGCAGUGGAUGAUUGGAAAAUACCCAGUCGUAGAAGAGGCCAGAUGCAAAGAUGUUGAUGACCUGUGGGUUUCAAGGGCAGGAACUCCUUGUUCUGCAUGGUGACUGGUGUCACGUGUGUCCAGCUCAGGCCUGCUGACGGAGCCCGCUGCUCAUACCAUCUUGAGUUGAACAGACUGGACCAGAGGCCACUGGAAGCACAGCUCCUAAAAAAUACCAACAGUGAUUUUUGGCUUUUUCCCAGCAACCAGGGAAUCAGAUUGGAGCUAGGUCAGGGUUGUGAGCACCCAUUGCUCUCCUGCACAUUGUCCUUCCUUUUGGGGUUUUGGAAUACACAUGGAUAUAUUUAACUAGAUAUAUUACAUAUAUUUUAAAGAUAUAUACUUAGCGUAUAUAUUUAACAUAGAUAUUUCUAGAAUAUGCAUAUUCUGAAUAUAUGAAACAUCUAAGCUUGACAUUAUUUGUACAUAAAGCCCUUUGACUUGGAGUCAAGAUGUGCUGUACAGUUUGGUGCUGAGUGCUCUGGACGCCCCAGCAGGGCCGGAGAAAAUCUGCAGAGGCAGCAGCAACUGACCCUAACAGAGCAAGAGGCCUGACCUUCACACCUAUGUAACCCAAGGUCACAGAAAUGCUGAGGGGCCAUGUGACUCCAGUGAAGCAGGAGUAUCCAUCCAGCCACAGAGAUGGGACCUGUCCAAAUGGGACCUGUCUGUUCCAAAGGUUAUUCUGCUUGAAAAUCAGGCCAGGCAUGGUGGCUCACAACUGUAAUCCCAGCACUAUAGGAGGCCAAGGCAGAUGGAUGGCUUGAGCCUAGGAGUUUGAGACCAGCCUGGGCAGAAUAGUGAGACCCUAUUUCUACAAAAAAUACAGAAAAAUCAGCCAGGCUUGGUGGCAUGCUCCUGUAGUCCGAGCUACUCGGAAAGCUGAGGUGGGAGAGUCACUUCAGCCUGGGAGAUCAAGACUGCAGUGAGCAGUGAUGAAACUACUGCACUCCAGCCUGGGUUUCAGAGCAAGUCCCUGUCUCAGAAAGAAAAAAAAAAGAAAAAAGAAAACAAGUCAGUAUUUUCCCCCCAAAGAAAGGCUCAUGGGAAUCUUACAAAAUGAGGUUUUAGGAACCAAAAUUACUUCAUGUAGUACUCUCUAGUAAAGGCAGAGGAUGCAAAUGUUGCAGUGGGUCUCUGGUCAGCCGCCAUGAGUCUCUUGGAUCUAACACUUGCUCUCUUCAGACUUCAGUUUCCUCAUAAGGUGAGAACAAGGCUGUAUCUCAGUGCUCUGGGCCUGCUCACACAUCCUGCUCAUAUGAAUGUGAGAGCCACACCAGCCCUCUGGGAAGUAGUCCCUCAAACAGCAGCCCAGUGCAGGGGGAAGGAUGCAAACACUACAGGCAGAUCAGUUUAAUCCACUUUUGGGCAGGGUGACCUUAGGAAAGCCCAUUUCCUUCUGCCUCAAUUGUCACCUCUGUAAAAUGGAAACAAUAAUAUUUAUUUCCGUGGCUGUUUGGAGGAUUACAUAAAAUAACAAAUACAGUGGCAUUCCAUUUUUCUGAGGCAAUUAUGUUCUAUAAAGUCACUGCAAACACUGAAUUACUGGAAUAGUGAGCCAUUGCUCUUACUGGAAAUACAGGAUUAGGUUCCUGAAAAAUCUCUGGUCACAACAUCUUUGUCAACUGAUCAAUACAUAACCAUGAUGUAUGUGUGUUUCUUUUUAAAGGUACCUUAUUUAAUAUCAUUGUUGAUUCAUUAAUAUUAAACUCAUGCCUAAGAAUACUUUAAGUCAUAUCUGAAUGAAGCGUAUCUAAUAUGUAUAUUCUCUCUGAAGGUACAUCACUGCUCUCUUGCACUUAAACACACCAGACAGCACUUCAGCACUAUAUCUGGAGACCAUUUCAAACAGUAAAAUCUCCAAUAAAAGCAAAAAAAAAAAAAAAGUGAAAUUUAUGGCACUAAAUAGACUGCAGAAAGGACACCUGUUGAUAGGAUGAGAGCUGAAAAAAAAGGUAGAGGGCCGCAAGUGAUGGCUCACACCUAUAAUCCCAGCAUUUGGGAGGCCAAGGAGGGUGGAUCACCUGAGGUCAGGAGUGUGAGACCAGCCUGGCCAACAUGGUGAAACCUCAUCUCUACUAAAAAUACAACAAUUAGCUGGGCAUGGUGGCAUGCACCUGUAAUCCCAGCUACUCAGGAGGCUGAGGCAGGAGAAUCUCUUGAACCCGUGAGGAGGAGGUUGCAGUGAGCUGAGAUCACGCCACUACACUCUAGCCUGGGUGACGGAGUGAGACUCCAUCUUGGAAAAAAAAAAUAAAAGAAAAUAAAGAAGGUACAGCAUGGCCUCGCUCAGCUGGGAAUGUGUGUGUGCAUCAAGCAACUAUUUUUUUUUGCUGUUCUGUGCUUGUCUGUGAACAGCCAUGAAAAUGCCGAAACACUGCACAUGUUAAUAUUGGGGUUAUAAGUAAAUUUAGCGAGUAAGCAAAUUUGCAAAUAUGGAAUCUGCAAAUAAUGAUUUGACUGUGCUUAGUAAUUGGCCAGUAAAAAACUGGCAGCUUAUUAUAUUAUCAUCAGGGAAAGCAUAGGGUCUGGUAAAGAUCUGUUAGGGUACACUAGGAAUCCAAACUCCAACUGGUGCCCAUAGGAGUGGGAGGGAAAUCUGCAAGUGUGGAGCCCCUCAAAUCAAUGCUCCAGGGAGCCUUGAGUCCCUCUGUCACCUCUCGGCCAGGUCUCCAAGAACUCCCUAACUCCUUGGACUUAACUCUUGGAUCUCCCUGACAAUUGCAGUAGGUGAAAACUCCAGGGCCGCAGCAGGAGGCUGCUGCAUUUGAUGUCGAGGCUGUUGGCCCUCUCUAUGCCUAGGAUAAGCCCCGUUUGGCCUGGUCCAACUCAACCUGGCUCAAACGGCUGCAUGCCAUUGCUCGUAAGCACAGGCCUGUAUCCUGCCAUUGUUCUGGGAAUGACCACGGUGGGACCGACCGGCAGGAGAAUAGCACUACAGAUAGGGAGUGUGUUUCCAAACUGCAGGGUCACAGGGAAAAAGAAAUUGACCUGUUCCACAUCACACCACCCCCUUCCUGCUCUCCACCCUAACUCUCCGGUCAGGUGACCAGAGAAGCCCCAGGGGGUCCUUAACCUGGAUUUGUGCACUUUCCCAGGAAGCCAGCAGGAAAAGAAAGGGAACUCCCAUUUCUCAAGCCUUUCUCUGUGCCAAGCCUGGUGCUUGCCACUUUCCAUUUCCUGCCUCGUGGAGUCCUCCCAAUAACCCUGCAGUGUCCAGACCAUCCUGGGUUUCAGAUGAGGAAACUGAGGUUCAGAGUGGCCCAGUGAAUAGCAAUGAAUGCAACCCCAUUUGACGUUUGGCAGCAUUAACUCAUUUUGAGCCACAAUGCGGGAUUCUGUUACAGAGACUUUUCAAAGAGCAUAAAAGAGUUGCAUAAAAGCGACUUCACAGGGGCCCUGUAACAAUCAUUAAGAUAAAAUAUAAUAAUAAUAAUAAGAGCAAUAACGACAACUUCUGAGUGUUUUCUAAAUGAAUAAACUAUACUAAGUGCUUUACAUAACUUUCCCUCAAUUAACCAUUUCUGCGACAUUCUGAGUUAUGAAUUAUCAUUAUGCCCAUUUUACAAAUGAGGUAUCUGAGGCUCAGAGAUGUAAGCUGACUUGCCUGGGGUUACGGAGGUCAUAACUUAGAAAACAGGGGAGCGGGGGACUAGAAUCCAGAGCCUCUCCUCUUACUUGUCACGCUAGAGGCUGGGGCCAAAGUGGGGCCCCUUUCUCAUUCUCAAUCCCCCUCCCAUACCCUCGGUGUCUCUUUCAUCUCACAGUGCGACAGGCAGCAAAGGUUGCCAGGAGCCCCAGUCCCUUCGUCUGCAGGAAGAGGCCAGAGCCUUCUAAACCAGAGGUACUGUGCUUGCUGCUGCUGCUGCCUGGUUAUUCCCAUCCCUUCCUGCUCAUUAGCCUCAUUCUCUUCCUCAUCCCCACCAGUUUCAUCCCCAUCAUGCUACAGGGCUCAAAAGAUUCCUACUCUCCCAGCCUCCUUUUGGCUCCAACUUGUUCAUUUUUAGAGUUUCUUGUAAGCUCCAGGACUUCUGUUCUGUUAGCCUUUGUUUCCACAGAGAAGGACAAUGAAAGGACCUACCAUUUAUUGAAGUCCUACUGGAUGCUGGGCACUGUGUUAAGCCACCAUGCCCAGUGAUGAGUAUUACUACCACCCUUUUACAGACGAAGUCACUUGAGAAAGAUCAAGUCACUUCCCCAAGAUAACAGUGGAUGAUUCUCAUAGAGCUAGAAUUGGAAACCUGGAAAAGAAUUACUGAGGAAUCCUUGGUUUUGAAAGAAUAUCAUCUGCUUCCUUUUCUCUCCUCCAUUCCCUUCCUGCUAGUGUGUUCAUUAGUGUUUUAAUGGGGUGGUUUUCUUAGGGGGACUAUGAAUUUGGAGCUUUCAUCUGAUGGCCCACCAAUACUUGCAAUGGGAUCAAUGAGCUCUUCACACUCAGGAGGUACCCAAAUUGCAUGCACAUAGAGUUUCUAAGUAUUUCUUGAUCAUCUCUCACUGCAAGGCCAACACAGAAGCACGCAUACAAUCCCAGCAUCUUCUCUCCUGUCCUGAUCUUGGGGGUGGGCGGUGAGGGUAAUAGUUAAAUUGUGGGAGGUAAGGCAGAUGGAUGGGAGGUGCUGAGCUCCUGACUUGCAGCCCUCAUUCACGCCCUGGCUGAUGCAGGCUUCCUCCCACUUGCAUUGUGCUGACCACAUGGCCUUGUCAUGGAAACAUAGACUGGAGCCUCAUGAGCAGGCCAAAUCUCUCCCUCCCUCAGGACACUGCUGGAACAAGAGGCUGUGGAAAGCCUCGUUUGGCACUGGGAAAGGUAGUCUUGGGCUUUGGAGCCAGAAAGACCAGGGUUGUGUGGUCAGUGCCACAGUUUAUCUGAGUGACCUUGGGUAAGUCACUCUACCUCUCUGAACUCCAGUUCCCUCACCUAUAAAAUGGAGAAAAUAAUGCAAACGUUAUAAGGCCAGGAAUUUAGCAAAAGUAUGUAUUUUGGUAAUAAACCAGGUGCUCAAUAGAUGUCAUUCUCCCUCCUUCUCUUCCUCUUCAGAGCAGGAUUAGGGUGAGAAGAGCUAAAAGAAGGUGUCCAAAUCCACUUUUCAUCAGCCACCUUAGGACAGAACUAAUUCCCUGCCCAAAGGCUCCUGGCCAGAAUGACAAUCAGUCCAAAGCUGAAGAGUCUUCAACUGAUCAGAGGCAUAGAUGAGCUUAGCCCACCUUUUGCCUUCCUGAAUUAAAAUAAAACCUCUCACUAGAGAUACUAAGGGAAAUCCUUUAGAAGCUGAAGUCAGUGAGAAUGAACACAAUAAAGAAUUUUGGACAUGGUUUACAUUUUAUGCAUGCUAUUAUUAAAUGUUGAGUAAAAUAAUAUGUUAUCUUGAGUAGGGAUUAAGACCAGAGGCCCUGGAGGCCAUAUGUCUAUACAUUCAAAUUCCUGCUGGCCCUCUUAUUAGCUGAGUGACCUCAGGCAAGAUAUUUAAUCUCUUUGUGCAUCAAUUUCCUGAUGUGUUGAUAGUAAGAAUGAAAUCUACCUCAUAAAGUUGUUAUAAAGACUUAAGAAAUUAUUAUAUGUAAAAUGCUUGGAGUACUGAAUAACACAUAGAAAGUGCUCAAUAAAUAAUAUUUGUUUAUGUAUUUUAUUUUACUGAGGUAGAGACUGAGUCAAAAAAAGACUAGAUAGAUGCCUCAGGAAAAAAGGGAGAGAAGAUUCUACUUCAUUAAUUAGUAUUCUAUGUUGUUUUGUUUGGCAGCUGCUUAAUUAAAAACUUCUGUAAUCUUGAUUAGAACUAUUAAUCAGUGUCAAUGAUUCUUUAUAAAUUGUGCCAGGAGUAUGAGUAUUAAGGUUUUGCAUUUAUUAGGAUGAAAAAUUGCCCCCUUUAACCAGUAGUUUUAUAAAACUGUUAAGAACUGGAAGAGACUUUGAAUAUAGGAGAUUGAGAGGAUUGCUACCAGUAAGGCCAUGGACAACUUGCUUCUGCAGAGUGAUGUUGACUUGAAGUUUCACAAUUAUAUAACCUUCAUUCAUUAAUUUAUUAACUCAACCACAUUUCAUAAACAGGCACUUGCAUUAGGCACUGUAGCAGGCCUACAAAUAGAGAGAAAAGAAGGCCAGUCCCUGAUCCCACAAUGCUUGAAGUCUGCUGGGGAGAUAGAAGUGCAAAUGGACCAUGACUGCAUUGUGAUCAAUACCUUAAUGGAGACACAAAUGAGAUACCGUGAAGGUGCAAGUAAUGGAGUCCCAAGUCCAUCAGGGGAGGCUUCACAGGGUAGUGAAGGUCAUGCAGUGCAUUCAUGGCAGUGAUAGACAGUUAUCCUCACCCAGUGUUCUCUCACUGCCUCAUGCUGGCUUUCCUACCAAGCAUACCUCAGUGAAAGGUCCCAUAACCUGAGAGCUAACUGAAUUAUUGAAUGUUUAUUAGGAGUCAGGCACUGUGCUAGGCACUUCACAUAAAUUAUCUUAUUUAGUUAUUGCAUUGGCCUUACAAGGGAAGUGCUAUUAUCUCCAAUUUAUAGAUGGGAAAAAUUAGACUCAAAAAAGGUUAAAUAAAUGUAGUAAAAUCACGCAGCUGGUGCAGAGUAAUGGCUGAGCUGUGGCUUAAAUGCAGGUCUCUCAGGGUCUGUAUGAGUCUUUUCUCACAGCUAUAAAGAACUACCUGAGAUUGGGUAAUUUAUAAAGAAAAGAGGUUUAAUUGCCCCAGUUCCACAGGCAGUACAGGGGGCAUGGCUGGGGAGAGCUCAGGAAACUUACAAUCAUGGCAGAAGGGCAAAGGGGAAGCAAGUACGUAUUCACAUGGUGGCAGGAGAGAGAGAGAGAGCAAAGGGGGAAGGGCUACAUACUUUUAAACAACUAGAACUCAUGAGAACUCACUCUCUAUCACAAGAACAGCAAGUGGGAAAUCUUCCCCCAUGAUCCCAUUACCUUCCACCAGGUCCCUCCCCCAACACUGGGAUUACAAUUCAACGUGAGAUUUGGGUGGGACACAGAACUGAACUAUAUCAUUCUGCCCCUGGCCCCUCCCAAAUCUCACGUCCUUCUCACAUUUCAAAACCAGUCAUGCCUUCCCAACAGUCCCCCAAAGUCUUAACUCAUUCCAGCAUUAACUCAAAAAUCCAAGUCCAAAGUGUCAUCUGAGACAAGGCAAGUUCCUUCCACCUCUGAGCCUAUAAAAUAAAAAACAAAUUAGUUACUUUCAAGAUACAAUGGGGGUACAGGCAUUAGGUAAACCUGGAACAGAGAGAAAUCAGGGUUUUUAGUGUGUUUGGCAGAAGACAUUUCUAGAGAAAUCGACCAAAACAAAGGGACCACAGGCUGCAUGCAAGCCUGAAACCCAGCAGGGCAGUCAUUAAAUCUUAAAGCUCUGAAAUAAUCUCCUUUGACUCAUGUCUCACAUCUAGGGCAUGCUGAUGCAAGCAGCAGGGUCCCAUGGCCUUGGGAAGCUUCACAUCUGUGGUUCAGCAGGGUACAGCCCCCUCAGCUCCUUUCAUGGGCUGGCAUUGAGUGCCUAAAGCUUUUCCAGGCACAUGGUGCAAGCUGUUGGUGGAUCUACCAUUCCGCGGUCUGGAGGAUUGUGGACCUCUUCUCACAGCUCCACUAGAUAGUGGCCCCGUGGAGACUCUGUGUGGGGGCUCCAACCCCACAUUUCCCCUUCACACUGUCCUAGUAGAGGUUCUCCAUAAGGGCUCUACCUCUGCUGCAGACUUCUGCCUGGAUAUCCAGGCAUUUCCAUACAUCCUGUGAAAUCUAGGCAGAGGAUCCCAAACCUCAACUCUUGCAGUCUGCACACCUGCAGGCUCAACACCAAGUGGAAGCCACAAAGGCUUGGGGCUUGCACCCUCUAAAGCAAUGGCCUGACCUGUAUAUUGGCCCCUUUUAGCCAUAGCAGCAACUGGAGUGGCUGGGAUACAGGGCACUAUGUUCUGAGGCUGUACGGAGCAGCAGGGCCCUGGACCUGGUCCAUGAAACCAUUUUUUCCCUCCUAGACCUCUGGGCCUGUGAUGGCAGGGGCUGCUAUGAAGGUCUCUGAAAUGCCUUGGAGGCAUUUUCCCCACUGUUUUGGCUAUUAACAUUUGGCUCAUCUUAUGCAAAUUUCUGCAGCCAUCUUGAAUUUCUCCCCGGAAAAUGGUUUUUUCUUUCCUACCACAAAAUCAGGCUGCAAACUUUCCAAACUGUUAUGUUCUGCUUCGCUUUUAAAUAUAAGAUCUCUUUACUUGUGGAAGUGAGCGUAGGCUUUUAGAAGCACCCAGGCCACAUCUUGUAUGCUUUGCUGAUUAGAAAUUUCUUCUGACAGAUAUCUUAAAUCAUCUCUCUCAAGUUCAAAGUUCCACAGAUCCCUAGAGCAGGGGCACAAUGCCUCCAGUCUCUUUGCUAAAGCAUAGCAAGAGUGACCUUCACUCCAGUUCCCAGUAAAUUCCUCAUCUCCAUUUGAGACCACCUCAGCCUGGACUUCAUUGCCCAUAUAACUGUCAGCAUUUUGAUCCCAACCAUUUAACAAGUCUCUAGGAAGUUCUAAACUUUCCCUCAUCACCUUAUCUUCUUCUGAGCCUUCCAAACAGUUCCAAACUCUGCCCAUUACCCAGUUCCGAGGUCAUUUCCACAUUUUCAGGUAUGUUUAGAGCAAUAGCCUGCUCCUGGUACCAAUUUUCUGUAUUAGUCCCUUCUCACACUGCUAUAAAGAACUACCUGAGACCAGGUAACUUAUAAAGGAAAGAGGUUAAAUUGACUCACAUUUCCACAAGCUGUACAGGAGGCACGGCUAGGGAGGCCUCAGGCAACUUAUGAUCAUGGCAGGAGGGAAGGGGAAGUAAGCAUGCCUUCACAUGGCAACAGGAGAGAGUGGGCGAAGGGGGAAGUGCUACACACUUUUAAAUAACCAGCUCUCAUGAAAACUCAUGCACUAUCAUGAGAACAGCAAGGGGGAAAUUCACCCCCAUGAUCCAAUCACCUCCCACCAGGUCCCUCCCCCAACACUGGGGAUUACAAUUCAACAUGAGAUUUGAGCCAGGACACAGAGCCAAACCAUAUCAGGAUCCAGUCCCUGUGCCAGCAAGGCUAAUCAACUAGCUCUAUUAUGUUUUCACUGAGUCUAUAAUUCCACCUGAAGUAGAACCUUUACCCAGAUGCCCUGUCUGAAAAGCCUGGGCUUUAAGAUUAUGUGAUAUGGAGGAAAGAGCUUAGGAUUUGAAAUGGUUUGCAUUGUCCUAUUGCCUUCUAGCCAUAAGGUGCUUACUACCUAGAACCUAAGCUUAAUCUUAUGAAAAAAUGGGCCUAGUGACAUGCAUAUCUUUUCUUGGGGUCUUAUGAGGCUUCCAUGAAAGAAAAGAGAAUAAUUCUAAGACAGUAUUUUAUAAAAGUAAAAUGUAUGUUAAAGUAUGUUAUUGGAGAAGAAGUGUAUUUUAUAAAAAUAAAAUUUAUGUUAAAGUAUGUUAUUGGAGAAGAAGUGUAUUGGACAGGCAAUGGAAAGUAUCCUAGCUAGUUUAGGCAGAAAAACAAUUUAAUGUAAGGAAAAUGAUGUGUACAAAAUCGUUGGAAGUUCUAGAAAAUGAGCUCUAGAUUAAAAGAUAAUUUUGAAAUAUAGUUUUUAGCAUUUAAUUAUUAUUAGUUUUUUGAGACAUGGUCUCACUCCAUUGCUCAGGUUGGAGUGCAGUAGUACAAUCAUGG